RNAcentral lists this ribosomal RNA (497 nucleotides) under uncultured bacterium. RNAcentral's name for it is "partial 16S ribosomal RNA". It matches the Rfam family "Bacterial small subunit ribosomal RNA", at positions 28 to 507 of the family's 1533-position model. The record is from RNAcentral.
GAUGAACGCUGGCGGCGUGCCUAAUACAUGCAAGUCGAGCGAACGGACGAGAAGCUUGCUUCUCUGAUGUUAGCGGCGGACGGGUGAGUAACACGUGGAUAACCUACCUAUAAGACUGGGAUAACUCCGGGAAACCGGAGCUAAUACCGGAUGAUAUUUUGAACCGCAUGGUUCAAAAGUGAAAGACGGUCUUGCUGUCACUUAUAGAUGGAUCCGCGCCGCAUUAGCUAGUUGGUAAGGUAACGGCUUACCAAGGCAACGAUGCAUAGCCGACCUGAGAGGGUGAUCGGCCACACUGGAACUGAGACACGGUCCAGACUCCUACGGGAGGCAGCAGUAGGGAAUCUUCCGCAAUGGGCGAAAGCCUGACGGAGCAACGCCGCGUGAGUGAUGAAGGUCUUCGGAUCGUAAAACUCUGUUAUUAGGGAAGAACAUAUGUGUAAGUAACUGUGCACAUCUUGACGGUACCUAAUCAGAAAGCCACGGCUAACUACGUG